AGAGGGUAAGCUGCUGCUGUUGGGAAAGCCUGCAGGGAAGGAGGUUGCAGUCACUCCCCCAGUGGAGUGAGUUGGCAAAUGGAAAACCUAGAGAUGUGGGGGAAGUCAAAUAUGUAGGAAGAAGCCCAGGGAAAUAGUAUGAGGUUUUGCAUGGAAAUCUUUCCUCAGCUCUAAUCAGCAUGCUGCCUAAGGCACCACGUGACAGCCAGAGCGAUGGUAGAGAAUGGCAGUCUUGGUAUUGCCUGGAUCAGUAGUGGUCAAGCUAUUUUUUGGUGGAGGGAAAGGUAGUUUUAAUUUUGCAAAGGACCUGCCACGAGUGUCACCUGGCUGCUGGGGUCCAGACGAUGGCCAGACAUUUUGUAACCUAGCAACUGAUGAUCCACGGGCCCACCCUCUGCAAGAGGCCAGCCAGCUGGUACCGGAUGGAGAGCAAAGAGCUGAGGUGGAGGCCAUGUGACUGGUUUUGCCCGGGAAACACAACAAAGGAUGGAGGGGGAGCAAAUGGGCAUGACAUAAAUUCGGCUGCUGAAAACAUGUCUCAGUCUCCUUUGUGGGUCUGGCAUGGUGAGCCAGGGCUCUGGGACUGACCAAGAUGGACCCAGCUAUAACUUCCUGCUUUCUGUGCUAACAAAGAACUUUUCCAA
This is a long non-coding RNA of Chelonia mydas (Green sea turtle), 644 nucleotides long. RefSeq lists it as uncharacterized. The transcript is spliced from 3 exons. NCBI's taxonomy places the organism in Eukaryota, Metazoa, Chordata, Testudines, Cheloniidae. The record is from RefSeq and is a predicted model, not a curated record.